This 440-nucleotide ribosomal RNA is filed under the name uncultured bacterium. RNAcentral describes it as "partial 16S ribosomal RNA". It matches the Rfam family "Bacterial small subunit ribosomal RNA", at positions 338 to 795 of the family's 1533-position model. The record is from RNAcentral.
CCUACGGGCGGCUGCAGUGGGGGAUAUUGCACAAUGGGGGAAACCCUGAUGCAGCAACGCCGCGUGAGUGAAGAAGUAUUUCGGUAUGUAAAGCUCUAUCUGCAGGGAAGUGAAUGACGGUACCUGACUAAGAUGCUCCGGCCAACUACGUGCCAGCAGCCGCGGUAAUACGGAGGGGGCGAGCGUUAUCCGGAUUUACUGGGUGUAAAGGGAGCUUAGACGGGUGGUCAAGUAUGAAGUGAAAGCCCGGGGCUUAACCCCGGAACGGCUUUGGAAACUGGGCAGCUAGAGUGCUGGAGAGGUAAGCGGAAUUCCUGGUGUAGCGGUGAAAUGCGUAGAUAUUAGGAGGAACACCAGUGGCGAAGGCGGCUUACUGGACAGUAACUGACGUUGAGGCUCGAAAGCGUGGGGAGCAAACAGGAUUAGAUACCCUUGUAGUC